UUUGUGGUCAGUGACAAGGUCGCUGACUUGAGGAAGGUUUAGUUAACUGUUAACUGUUUGUGAUCUCUAUGGAUUUGCGUCUGGGUUAAUAUUGUGUCGAAUUUACACUCUAUAAACCAAAAUCAAGAUGAUUAGGGCAUCACCCGAUAAUACAAUGUCACAAAGGUGCGCAACUUUCCGGAUCCCCUGUAUAUUAGAGUUCCAGUCAUCCUACGCUGAGUCCGACGUCGGUAGUUUUUUACUCGAUACAUACACUACAAGGAGUUUGUUUAUGAGAUGAUCACCGAAUUGACAGUGACCUGCAAGAAGAAGAUGAAUGAUCUCACGUGUUUCGUGCGUUUGUUCGGUUUGAACAUUUGUUUUGGAUUUGUGAUAUUUUUCUCAAUUUGUGUGCAUUUGUUAAAUUGUGUAAGUCAUGACAACGGUAAGCGAUACAGGUACACGAUAUUCUAAACGUACUUUAAAUCCUAGGUUUAGUAAUAGUGAAUGUUUAAUUUGUGUUACCAAAAGUAUUAUUGCCAUUUAUUUAUUUAUAGGUAAUUUAUUACAAAUGUAAAAUAAACUAUUAUUUUUGUACUGGCA
Tribolium madens (black flour beetle) is the source of this 582-nucleotide long non-coding RNA. RefSeq lists it as uncharacterized. The record is from RefSeq and is a predicted model, not a curated record. Lineage: Eukaryota; Metazoa; Arthropoda; Insecta; Coleoptera; Tenebrionidae. The transcript is spliced from 4 exons.